AUUGAACGCUGGCGGCAGGCCUAACACAUGCAAGUCGAACGGUAACAGGAAGAAGCUUGCUUCUUUGCUGACGAGUGGCGGACGGGUGAGUAAUGUCUGGGAAACUGCCUGAUGGAGGGGGAUAACUACUGGAAACGGUAGCUAAUACCGCAUAACGUCGCAAGACCAAAGAGGGGGACCUUCGGGCCUCUUGCCAUCGGAUGUUCCCAGAUGGGAUUAGCUAGUAGGUGGGGUAACGGCUCACCUAGGCGACGAUCCCUAGCUGGUCUGAGAGGAUGACCAGCCACACUGGAACUGAGACACGGUCCAGACUCCUACGGGAGGCAGCAGUGGGGAAUAUUGCACAAUGGGCGCAAGCCUGAUGCAGCCAUGCCGCGUGUAUGAAGAAGGCCUUCGGGUUGUAAAGUACUUUCAGCGGGGAGGAAGGGAGUAAAGUUAAUACCUUUGCUCAUUGACGUUACCCGCAGAAGAAGCACCGGCUAACUACGUG
Molecule: ribosomal RNA, 490 nt
Filed under: uncultured bacterium
Lineage: Bacteria
Description: partial 16S ribosomal RNA
Rfam family: Bacterial small subunit ribosomal RNA
Source: RNAcentral